CGCGAACGUUGGCGGCGUGCCUAACACAUGCAAGUCGUGGGGCAGCAGGCUACUGUCUUUUGGCAGUAGUGCUGGCGACCGGCAAACGGGUGAGUAACACGUAGCUUACCUACCCAUAGGUUGGGGAUAACAUCCCGAAAGGGGUGCUAAUACCCAAUAAUGAGGAGACUCCAAAGCCCUUAUGGGCGCCUAUGGAUGGGGCUGCGUCCCAUCAGCUAGUUGGUGAGGUAAUGGCUCACCAAGGCUACGACGGGUAACCGGUCUGAGAGGAUGACCGGUCACAGUGGGACCGAGACACGGCCCGCACCCCUACGGGGGGCAGCAGUGGGGAAUAUUGGGCAAUGGCCGAAAGGCUGACCCAGCAACGCCGCGUGGUGGAUGAAGCCCUUCGGGGUGUAAACACCUUUUCUGGGGGAAGAUAAUGACGGUACCCCAGGAAUAAGGGACGGCUAACUACGUGCCAGCAGCCGCGGUAAUACGUAG
This 483-nucleotide ribosomal RNA is filed under the name uncultured Sulfurihydrogenibium sp. Its description in RNAcentral is "bacterial SSU rRNA". It matches the Rfam family "Bacterial small subunit ribosomal RNA", at positions 29 to 530 of the family's 1533-position model. Lineage: Bacteria; Pseudomonadati; Aquificota; Aquificia; Aquificales; Hydrogenothermaceae. The record is from RNAcentral.